AAGAUUAAGCCAUGCAUGUCCAAGUAUAAGCAAUCUAUAUGGUGAAACUGCGAAUGGCUCAUUAAAUCAGUUAUCGUUUAUUUGAUAGUACCUUACUACUUGGAUAACCGUGGUAAUUCUAGAGCUAAUACAUGCUAAAAACCUCGACUUCGGAAGGGGUGUAUUUAUUAGAUAAAAAACCAAUGCCCUCCGGGGCUCCUUGGUGAUUCAUAAUAACUCAACGAAUCGCAUGGCCUUGCGCCGGCGAUGGUUCAUUCAAAUUUCUGCCCUAUCAACUUUCGAUGGUAGGAUAGUGGCCUACCAUGGUUUCAACGGGUAACGGGGAAUUAGGGUUCUAUUCCGGAGAGGGAGCCUGAGAAACGGCUACCACAUCCAAGGAAGGCAGCAGGCGCGCAAAUUACCCAAUCCCGACACGGGGAGGUAGUGACAAUAAAUACUGAUGCGGAGCUCUUUAGGGUUUCGCAAUUGGAAUGAGUACAAUUUAAAUCCCUUAACGAGGAACAAUUGGAGGGCAAGUCUGGUGCCAGCAGCCGCGGUAAUUCCAGCUCCAAUAGCGUAUAUAAAAGUUGUUGCAGUUAAAAAGCUCGUAGUUGAACCUUGGGCCUGGCUGGCCGGUCCGCCUCACCGCGUGCACUGGUCCGGACGGGCCUUUCCUUCUGGGGAGCCGCAUGCCCUUCACUGGUGUGCCGGGAACCAGGACUUUUACUUUGAAAAAUUAGAGCGUUCAAAGCAGGCCUAUGCUCGAAUACAUUAGCAUGGAAUAAUAAGAAUAGGACGUGUGGUUCUAUUUUGUUGGUUUCUAGGACCGCCGUAAUGAUUAAUAGGGAUAGUCGGGGGCAUCAGUAUUCCAUUGUCAGAAGGUGAAAUUCUUGGAUUUAUGGAAGACUAACUACUGCGAAAGCAUUUGCCAAGGAUGUUUUCAUUAAUCAGUGAACGAAAGUUAGGGGAUCGAAGACGAUCAGAUACCGUCGUAGUCUUAACCAUAAACUAUGCCGACUAGGGAUCGGGACGGUGUUAUCAUUUUGACCCGUUCGGCACCUUACGAGAAAUCGAAAGUUUUUGGGUUCUGGGGGGAGUAUGGUCGCAGAGGCUGAAACUUAAAGAAAUUGACGGAAAGGGCACCACCAGGACAACGGCCUUCGCGCCUGGUAAGAACUGUUUAGUCCCCUGAUGGGGGGGGCGAGACUCCUGAACUGCGGGGAUCGCUGCCGCGAGGCUGUGUACCCGAAGCCCGAGAGGGCUCACAGAUCAAGUGGAGUCGGUAGCACGCCGCACACCCCGGCGGGGGAGGGCUACUUGUGAUAUGAUCGGGCCGCCAGCCAACGCUGGCGACUCCGUGCGUGAGCUGCGGCUUAAUUUGACUCAACACGGGGAAACUCACCAGGUCCAGACACAAUGAGGAUUGACAGAUUGAGAGCUCUUUCUCGAUUUUGUGGGUGGUGGUGCAUGGCCGUUCUUAGUUGGUGGAGUGAUUUGUCUGCUUAAUUGUGAUAACGAACGAGACCUUAACCUGCUAAAUAGCCAGGCCCGCUCAGGCGGGUCGCCGGCUUCUUAGAGGGACUAUCGGCUCAAGCCGAUGGAAGUUUGAGGCAAUAACAGGUCUGUGAUGCCCUUAGAUGCUCUGGGCCGCACGCGCGCUACACUGACAGAGCCAACGAGUACACUCCCUUGGCCGGAAGGUCUGGGUAAUCUUGUUAAACUCUGUCGUGCUGGGGAUAGAGCAUUGCAAUUAUUGCUCUUCAACGAGGAAUGCCUAGUAAGCGCGAGUCAUCAGCUCGCGUUGAUUACGUCCCUGCCCUUUGUACACACCGCCCGUCGCUACUACCGAUUGAAUGGCUCAGUGAGGCCUUCGGACUGGCUCAGGGAGGUCGGCAACGACCACCCGGAGCCGGAAAGUUCGUCAAACUUGGUCAUUUAGAGGAAGUAAAAGUCGUAACAAGGUUCCCCAGCGUAGG
Molecule: ribosomal RNA, 1955 nt
Filed under: uncultured Umbilicaria
Lineage: Eukaryota; Fungi; Ascomycota; Lecanoromycetes; Umbilicariales; Umbilicariaceae
Description: SSU rRNA
Rfam family: Eukaryotic small subunit ribosomal RNA
Source: RNAcentral